This is an RNA transcript of Rhodamnia argentea, 1186 nucleotides long. It is a transcript of the gene named ribosomal RNA large subunit methyltransferase E, with no coding region annotated. The transcript is spliced from 7 exons. The record is from RefSeq and is a predicted model, not a curated record. NCBI's taxonomy places the organism in Eukaryota, Viridiplantae, Streptophyta, Magnoliopsida, Myrtales, Myrtaceae.
UUGAAAAUGUCGGGCCGGAUAGGGCAGUUCUGGCCCGGCCCAUAAUUCUACGAGCCACUCUGGGCCACCGGGGUUGUGGGCGCCGACCCGACUGCUUGAGGCAACGCCGACUCUGCAUCAGCUCGCAGGCUUUGUCGCACGCCUUGGCUGGCCGGCCUGAGACUGAGAUUGAGCAAAGCGGGCAAUGAGCGGAGCCGGAGCACCGGAUUUCUUCUACAGAGAAGCUCAACGCCUCGGCUAUGUCGCUCGCUCUGCCUUCAAGCUGCUACAGAUGCAAAAUAAGUACAAGCUGAUAACUGCUGGGUCCUCUGUUCUCGACCUCGGCUGUGCUCCUGGCGCUUGGCUUCAGGUUGCUUGUCAGAGUUUGGGUCCUCUGAAAAAUGGUGGGUCUGUCGUUGGGAUUGAUCUCAAGAAGGUCAAGGUUCCUACAAUGCACUGCGAUGCUAGAGUUCAGACAGUUUGUGCCGAUGUUAGGAACUUCCCGAAGCACCAAAUUAAGGCUCUUUCUCCUCAGCAAAGAGGGUUUUCCGUCGUACUCUCCGACAUGUGUCCCUUAGUUUCUGGGAUUGCAACUACAGAUUCGGCUUUAUCCACUGAAUUAGGGAUGCGAGCGCUUGAGGUAGCUGUUGGCAGGUCUGCCUUUGGUCACAUGAAUGGCGGUAUCCAAAUGGAUGGACAGUCAAACCCAUCUGCUUCUGCUCCUGAUGACAAGGGUGUGUUGCGACCAGGGGGACACCUAGUCAUUAAGCUUCUCGAAAGUGAGGAUGCACAAGAAUUCCGCCGGAUUUGCGGUCCACUUUUCAGUAAGACAUCAUGGUUGAGGCCCAAAGCUACGAGGCCUUCAUCAAGAGAGAUCUUUUAUAUCUGUCAAAGUUUGCUCUCCUGAAAAUGCCGUUGCUUCAAUUGUUUGAGAAUAUUCCUGGAAGCUAAGCUUUCUUGGGCGAUCCGGUUGGCUGGCGCCAUGUAUUAUUUGACUGGUAUUCUUUUCCCCCAUCCACUACACAAACCUAAUUGUCGGCGGACUUUCUUUUCUCUAACUUACAGAUUGGCUGUCCUUUAUCGUAAUAAUGGUAGUUCACAAUAUGGAAGUUAUUAAUGUACUAGUCCUAGCCUUCAAUGGCACAACUACUAUGAGGAAUUGUUGCUUUUGAGGUAUCCAAUUCACUGUUAUACUUUCACCUUUCCA